CGACAGGAUGCCAAUCCCAAAACCCUCUCUCAGUUCGGAUCGAAGUCUGCAACCCGACUUCGUGAAGCUGGAUUCGCUAGUAAUCGCGCAUCAGCCAUGGCGCGGUGAAUACGUUCCCGGGCCUUGUACACACCGCCCGUCACACCAUGGAAGUCUGCAAUGCCCGAAGCCGGUGGCCUAACCACUUAUGUGGAAGGAGCCGUCUAAGGCAGGGCAGAUGACUGGGGUGAAGUCGUAACAAGGUAGC
RNAcentral lists this ribosomal RNA (247 nucleotides) under uncultured bacterium. RNAcentral's name for it is "partial 16S ribosomal RNA". It matches the Rfam family "Bacterial small subunit ribosomal RNA", at positions 1258 to 1500 of the family's 1533-position model. The record is from RNAcentral.